UCGAUGACGCGGAGAACUUACCUACUCUUGACUCCACAGAACUUGGCAGAGAUGCUUUGGUGCCUUCGGGAACUCUGAGACAGGUGCUGCAUGGCUGUCGUCAGCUCGUGUUGUGAAAUGUUGGGUUAAGUCCCGCAACGAGCGCAACCCUUAUCCUUUGUUGCCAGCGGUUCGGCCGGGAACUCAAAGGAGACUGCCAGUGAUAAACUGGAGGAAGGUGGGGAUGACGUCAAGUCAUCAUGGCCCUUACGAGUAGGGCUACACACGUGCUACAAUGGCAUAUACAAAGAGAAGCGACCUCGCGAGAGCAAGCGGACCUCAUAAAGUAUGUCGUAGUCCGGAUUGGAGUCUGCAACUCGACUCCAUGAAGUCGGAAUCGCUAGUAAUCGUGGAUCAGAAUGCCACGGUGAAUCGUUCUCCCGGGC
This 425-nucleotide ribosomal RNA is filed under the name bacterium L11(2015). Its description in RNAcentral is "bacterial SSU rRNA". It matches the Rfam family "Bacterial small subunit ribosomal RNA", at positions 951 to 1379 of the family's 1533-position model. The record is from RNAcentral.